UGCCACUACAAAUACUAGGCCUCACAGGGGC
RNAcentral lists this non-coding RNA (31 nucleotides) under Rattus norvegicus (Norway rat). Lineage: Eukaryota; Metazoa; Chordata; Mammalia; Rodentia; Muridae. The record is from RNAcentral.